UACGAAGGGGGCUAGCGUUGCUCGGAAUCACUGGGCGUAAAGGGUGCGCAGGCGGGCUGGUAAGUCAGUGGUGAAAUACCUGAGCUUAACUCGGGAACUGCCAUUGAUACUAUCAGUCUUGAAUAUCGUUGAGGUUUGCGGAAUGGGUCAUGUAGCGGUGAAAUGCAUAGAUAUGACCCGGAACACCUAUUGCGAAGGCAGCAGGCUAAGCGAAGAUUGACGCUGAGGCUCGAAAGCGUGGGGAUCAAACAGG
RNAcentral lists this ribosomal RNA (253 nucleotides) under uncultured bacterium. Its description in RNAcentral is "partial 16S ribosomal RNA". It matches the Rfam family "Bacterial small subunit ribosomal RNA", at positions 524 to 776 of the family's 1533-position model. The record is from RNAcentral.